UACGACGGGGGCUAGCGUUGUUCGGAUUUACUGGGCGUAAAGCGCACGUAGGCGGAUUGUUAAGUCGGGGGUGAAAUCCUGGAGCUCAACUCCAGAACUGCCUUCGAUACUGGCAAUCUAGAGUCCGGAAGAGGUGAGUGGAACUCCUAGUGUAGAGGUGGAAUUCGUAGAUAUUAGGAAGAACACCAGUGGCGAAGGCGGCUCACUGGUCCGGUACUGACGCUGAGGUGCGAAAGCUAGGGGAGCAAACGGG
Molecule: ribosomal RNA, 253 nt
Filed under: uncultured bacterium
Lineage: Bacteria
Description: partial 16S ribosomal RNA
Rfam family: Bacterial small subunit ribosomal RNA
Source: RNAcentral